Molecule: ribosomal RNA, 154 nt
Filed under: uncultured Paraglomus
Lineage: Eukaryota; Fungi; Glomeromycota; Glomeromycetes; Paraglomerales; Paraglomeraceae
Description: 5.8S ribosomal RNA
Rfam family: 5.8S ribosomal RNA
About the family: 5.8S ribosomal RNA (5.8S rRNA) is a component of the large subunit of the eukaryotic ribosome.
Source: RNAcentral
AAACUUUCAACAACGGAUCUCUUGGCUCUCGCAUCGAUGAAGAACGCAGCGAAAUGCGAUAAGUAGUGUGAAUUGCAGAGCUUUGUGAACCAUCGAAUCUUUGAACGCAAAUUGCGCCUUCUUUCGGAAGGCAUGUCUGUUUGAGGGCACCAUU